Molecule: long non-coding RNA, 978 nt
Organism: Triticum dicoccoides
Lineage: Eukaryota; Viridiplantae; Streptophyta; Magnoliopsida; Poales; Poaceae
Exons: 6
Source: RefSeq, a predicted model, not a curated record
GCCGGCGCCAGCUUCGUCUCCAUGAGAGGGCCGAAUCAGGACGGAUCCAAGUUGCCGACGUCUUUGCUGCCAUGGACGAGCCCUCACCCAGCGACCAAGGAAGGCAGGAGAAAUCCCUCCUCCUUGCAUUGUUGCAUCACUGCAUCCCCACGGUAGUCCAGGAGGAGCUCAACUGCCUGCUUUGAGAAGAAGAGAUGGCAGGAGGAUGAGGCAUGGGCUUGACAAGAAGUGGGUUGGAGCAAGAAGUAGAGCAGACAAUGCCCCUCUCUUAAUUGGCAUCUGCACAGCCAAAUCAAGGACCUAAGCUCCUGCGACGACCCCGGGAGGAGCUCGAGCCGCAGAGGUGGUCCAUGGUGUCGUCGCCGUCAUCCUCGGCAGGAGAAGCGUGGGCUGCAGAGAUGGUGGGAUCCGUCCGAUCCUUGCGCUGCCGUCCGUCCACCCUCGAGGAUAAUGUGUUUGUUCAGCUGAUCUGUAUAGUUUCAAUACCGGGUUGUUAAGGAGAAUGCAGAUGAUGCAUAUUCCACGAGUUGCAGACCCCCCAACAGCAAAUUCAGUCCUACGUUUUUUAUGGUUACACAGAGAUGGUUGGCUCCGUCCUGCUCCGGCGAUGGCUUCCAUCCACCCGAUGAACAGGACUACAUGGGAGAUGUAUGACGACCUAGCAAACUCCCGUCUGGUCAGCAGAAGUAUUCUGAUACUUUUCCUUAUGGCCCGGUGGCAGCCAAUGAGGGUUCCCCAUCCGAUGCUUGGUGCGGAGAAGGGGCCGUUCUCCUCUCAUGCGAGCAGCCCAAGUGCUGCCUGAUCCUUCCGUCCAAGAUGGAGGUGGUGAACAUCGAUGUGGCGACGCCUGAUGCGUACAUGAGGUCGCUAUGUGUUGUGUCUGAUGUAAUUUGGAACUCCGGAAUUUUCAUGGCUGAAUGUUUGUCUUUGUGCUUGAAUUCAUUUGUGUUUGAUGUACUAUGAAUUAAUGAUUAGCUU